UCGCGUCCCCAGGUCAGGCGAGACC
Molecule: ribosomal RNA, 25 nt
Filed under: Nageia nagi
Lineage: Eukaryota; Viridiplantae; Streptophyta; Pinopsida; Araucariales; Podocarpaceae
Description: partial nuclear 28S ribosomal RNA
Source: RNAcentral